GGGGUGCUCGAGUGGCGAACGGGUGAGUAACACGUGAGUAACCUGCCCUUGACUUUGGGAUAACUUCAGGAAACUGGGGCUAAUACCGGAUAGGAGCUCCUGCUGCAUGGUGGGGGUUGGAAAGUUUCGGCGGUUGGGGACGGACUCGCGGCUUAUCAGCUUGUUGGUGGGGUAGUGGCUUACCAAGGCUUUGACGGGCAGCCGGCCUGAGAGGGUGACCGGCCACAUUGGGACUGAGAUACGGCCCAG
RNAcentral lists this ribosomal RNA (249 nucleotides) under uncultured Actinomycetales bacterium. Its description in RNAcentral is "partial 16S ribosomal RNA". It matches the Rfam family "Bacterial small subunit ribosomal RNA", at positions 84 to 334 of the family's 1533-position model. Lineage: Bacteria; Bacillati; Actinomycetota; Actinomycetes; Actinomycetales. The record is from RNAcentral.